AUUGAACGCUGGCGGCAGGCCUAACACAUGCAAGUCGAACGAGUGGCGGACGGGUGAGUAAUGUCUGGGAAACUGCCCGAUGGAGGGGGAUAACUACUGGAAACGGUAGCUAAUACCGCAUACCAUCGGAUGUCCCCAGAUGGGAUUAGCUUGUAGGUGAGGUAACGGCUCACCUAGGCGACGAUCCCUAGCUGGUCUGAGAGGAUGACCAGCCACACUGGAAUUGAGACACGGUCCAGACUCCUAGGGGGGGCAGAAGUGGGGAAUAUUGCACAAUGGGCGAAAGCCGGAUGCAGCCAUGCCGCGUGUAGGAAGAAGGCCUUGGGGUUGAAAGUACUUUCAGCGGGGAGGCGUUACCCGCAGAAGAAGCUCCGGCUAACUCCGUGCCAGCAGCCGCGGUAAUAC
RNAcentral lists this ribosomal RNA (405 nucleotides) under uncultured bacterium. RNAcentral's name for it is "partial 16S ribosomal RNA". It matches the Rfam family "Bacterial small subunit ribosomal RNA", at positions 30 to 526 of the family's 1533-position model. The record is from RNAcentral.